CUCUUUAUAGUAUAAAAAUAGUAUAUGUAUUUUCCAAAUACCAGGCCUUGUAAUAAGUAAAGAAA
Molecule: transfer RNA, 65 nt
Filed under: Partulina redfieldi
Lineage: Eukaryota; Metazoa; Mollusca; Gastropoda; Stylommatophora; Achatinellidae
Description: tRNA-Gly
Source: RNAcentral